Non-coding RNA from Podarcis lilfordi (Lilford's wall lizard), 5391 nucleotides. The record is from the annotation of a GenBank genome assembly. NCBI's taxonomy places the organism in Eukaryota, Metazoa, Chordata, Lepidosauria, Squamata, Lacertidae.
GGCUUGGCUGUUCCUCAGUUUUACCUGAACUUAUUUACUAACAGAGAAGUGGUAGCAUGACCCAAAGUCGUUAUCGCUGGUAAGAGUGGAAAUUGCCGUGCACAUUAAUGUUGAAGGGAAUAGUGCUUCAUACAGCAGUUGAACUCAUUAUCAAAUGCUUAAAGAUUUUCCGGAACUAACUCAUGAACUGAAAAACCUCCUAACCAGGGGAUGAGAACCCAGGAAGCUCUGGAGGGUUUAGGCAGAAUCAGAGGCGCUGCCUUGGGCCGAAGAUUUGUGGGGCUCAGUGGUACAGCAUGCGUGUGACAUCAUGCACGUGAUGCGCAUUGCGCAUCUGUGAUGUCACACACUCGUCGUCAAGAGGAGGCCUUGCCCAGUGCCGUGCAGCUUCAAUGGCCACGGCUGCUCCUCUCUUGCGCUCAGGAGGAGCCUGCCUUUGAUGCUACACCAAGCUCAGAUUGGUGAUUCGGCCUCCCCUCUCCCCUCAAUAUGAGGGGAGGAGGGCUGAGCCCCUGCUAAGGAAUAUUGAGGGGGCUGAUGCCACCUCUGUCCCCUAGAGUUGGCAUGCCUAGCCAGGGUGGAGCCCAAAGCUGCUGAAGGGUUAAGGAUGCCGACCAUGCUUCUCCUCAUCUUGCAAAAAGGCUAAAAUCAUAAGAAUCAUUUCCUGUACCCAUAAUGUGAUACUGGGUUCAGUGGCCUAGUUUUACAUAUCACUUUAAACAAUAGUUACACUUAACUAUUUAAAGGUGAACUCACAGUGUGCUUUUGCAGACAUCCAACAACAUCUGGAAGGCCACAGUUUCUCCUUCCCUGAUCUACACUGAUUGCCAGUGAAGUGCGGGUUGGGUCCUUCAAAAAGGCCACCACAACCUGCUCUCUGCGUACAGGUUCAAGCUGCUUGAUGCUAUUUUAGAAUCACCAUCUUAUUAGCUCUACUAAAAGAUCAGCUGCCUUUGGCUUUUACUAGGCUACCAGACGGCAUCAGAGGGAACAAUAAUAGGAAGCAGAUCCCACUCCCAACAGUUUUUGUUUGUUUGGUUAGUCGGUUCGGUUUGUAAACUUCUUCAGAAGACUUUUUUGGCUGAGGAACAGGAUUAAAAUGCUUUAAAUAAAUAUCUGCCUCACUGUUUUGGAAUGCUGAUUGCAGAGCUAACAGCUCCCAGAAUGCAAUGCUGCUCAGUGUGCGAGCCUCUAUUAGAGUUCGGCAGAAAUUGCUAAUUGCCCGCUGUAACUCAGGGUGAUUCACUGUGCUCAUGCUGCUCAGUCAAUUGUACCUUCACCUGUGUAUAAAAGCUAUUAGAAAUAUAUGUGUAUGCAGCAAUCUAAAUGACUUAGACUAAGGAAGUGCCCUCUGUCUUUAAAAGGAAGGUAUCUAUUCCCACAUACUGAAUAUCCUUAAUGAUGUACUAUGAUCAAGUCUCCAAUUUAUAAGGAAAAAUCUAGUGUUCAAAAGCCUACUUCUCUGAAAAUUUACAUUGAAUCUCCUGAGUUCAAUGGGGCUUCAUAUUUUUAUUUUUAUGCAAUUUAUGUACUGCUUCAUUGUUCAAAAAAAAAAUCAAAGUUAUUUUUUAAAAUAGAGCAAUUAAAUCAGUCAAACAGUUAAGUAAUGACAGUAGCAAGUAAUGAUACAUAAGAAUGCAAAUCCUUAGGUUCUGUUCAGAAGUUAUGUUUCUUUAUGUAGCUGUCUGUACACAUAUAUGAACACUAGACCAUGCCAAGGCACAAAUAACACUAUCAUUGUGAAACUGGCUAUAUGUACUGUAGGGCAUUACUAAAGUUAAAAAUGUACUGAUUUUACAGAUUUAUUAAUUCAUCAUUUAUUCCACAGUGCUUCCAAUUGCACUUCAUGAUUUGUGACCUUAGUGCUUGAACAAUAAUCUCCUCCCUCAAUUACCUACCCAGACGUUGAGAUCUUCUUAUGAGAUUCUUCUUUGAGUUCCCCUGCGGUGGUGAAAGGACCAUUUUUCAGUGGUGGUACUCAGUGUUAGAAACUGAAAUAUGAAAGCUAGGAGCUAAAUAGCACCAUAAACCUAGGUUAUGGGCACCGCAAUGGAGUGCCUAGGCGCGCCUUUUUAUAACAAGAAUACAAAGCUGAAAAUGAAUGGCCUGCAGCUAAAAUAUUUUGUUCAUUUUUCACAUGGUCUAGUCCUCAUCUGAGGACUGCAAAAAAACCUCAAAUCCAUACUUCCCCUGCCUGCCACUCUAAUAUUCUUAUGAUGGUGCCUUCUCUAGUCUUCAGAGAGUGGCUGGAAGUGGGGUGGCAGAAAAGGGUCCUCCUUUCCUUCUACUGUGCAGUUUUAAUCUGAAAUCUUAGGCUCAGUACUACGCCCAGAGCUCAGAAACUGCUCGCAUGAAUGAAAUUCCCUGUCACAAAAUGCACCUAGAACAAUGGGAGUUUCGAACACUGGUGGUACCCCAAAAGAGGCCCGCUUUACACCUAUAUUAAAGGCUUUUUGGCACCUGGUAAAUACUUUUUCAUUUCCCCAAGCCUUUUAAUUCAUGUUGUACCUUUUAAUUGUAGCUCUACUGAUAUAUUUUUAAAAAAUAAUAUUUGGUGUUUUAAUGCUGUAUUGCAUAUUGCAUUUUUAUUGCAUUUUUAAAACUUUGUUUUUAUUUUGCAAGUUGCCUAGGUAACUUUUUGUCAUAUGGUAUCCUAUAAAUAGCAUGCAUGUAUAUAACAGUUUACAAUCCUUGUCUCUUAAUAUGCACACAGCCAAACAUCAAAAAGCCAGUUUUGCAGGUGACCAGCGAAAAGAGCUUUGGAAUUUGAUCUUUACCAUAGCUCUGGAGUAGAAUGCUGCUGCCAGAAAGUAUAUUACAUAGAUUAGUAGAACUACAGCUUGCCUAGAAAACCCCUUUCCUGUCCGACUUCCUGCCACUGCUAUAAUUAAAGCUCUGAGUCAGUCCCUACUAGUCACUACAAUGGUAUUCUAAUGUCACACCCAAAAAACCCUAGAGCAAGAGAAAGCUCUGGUGCUGUGUAAUAAUACACCGCACAAACACACACCCAUGGAAUUUCUGUGCUGUGCAGUUUUCUGUCUCAUCCCAUCCCAAUAUAGCUCAUCGUCUUCACUCAUCCCGGCCAUUGUCCCAGCUUUGACUGAACAAAUUCCAUUCUUCUAGUUAUUAUAACUUUAAAAAGGUAGAAGGAGCAGAUGUUCUUCCACACAAUUGGGUUUUUUUUACUUCUUUUUUUUAAUACCUUCACAUUUUGUGCAGCUGUGAAAAUCUGAACUGAAAGGGCAAUGUGAAGCAGAAACCACAGCAAGGCAUCUUCUGAGACAUCCCAGUUGUUGCUUCAGAGAAAGCUAGUCGGUUUUGGUCACUGUAUGCGAUCCAAAUUGAGGAGCAGAAGGCAGAUACUUGUGGCCUUGGCACUGAACCAAACAGAAGCAAAUUCAAUUGCAAUUCAGACUAGCCCUGAAUCUGUAUGUUUUCUAAAAGGUUAGCUCCAAUACCAUAGGCCUGAGAAGACAUAUAUAUUAAGCUGAUGCCUAAAGUAAAUAAUGUAAGGACAAUGUCCUGGUUCCCAGCUGCCAUAGAACAGAGACGAUGUGAAAUUCCUUCCAAAGGUUUAAAUAUUUAGUAUACUGCCAUACAUACACAGAUUAAGGUAAUGCUGUUCAGCAAGGGGGUGAACUGUACCUUGGUUAUAGACAGGACACCCAUCUAUGCUGAAAUAUUAACAUCAAACAAGAAAACUGUUCUGUCUCCAUCUGAAAGCCAAGCUCCCGUUUAAAAUUUGGAUAGACAAUUUCCCCGGGAAACAUGGAUUUCGACAGGAUGUUGGUUUUUGGAACUGAAUAUCAGUAGUAUCCAGAUUUCAUAGAUGGUUGUCAUAGGUUGGGUCAAGCUCAGAUCAAUAAUUAUAUAGGAGAAAACCUAAUGUAAGGAAUGUUCAUAGUUGACUUCGAAGGGAGUGACACACAAAGAGAGUUUGUACAUGUAAUUGUUUCUAAGCUCUUGUCAUCAUGUUGUGAAAUGUAUGACCUAAGUAAUUAUACACAAUAGAUUAGUCAUAAUGAUCUCAGCAUCUUACCACAUGUAUCUAUUAAUCAACCUAAACCUAUGUAACCAGAAAGAUUGUUUAUGACAUAGAAAUAAGAAAUAUAUUCUAUUUUUAGCAGCUUCCACGGAUACAACUGCUACAAAUGGAAAGUGAGGUCAUGUGGCAAACCUGCUCUCUGCUGACCAUCAGCUGAAGCCUUCAGUGCUAUAUAGUGUCUGGGCAAAUGUGAUGUAAUCUUAUUUUAUUUAGUACUUGACAAUGCAUUCCAUGCAUUUUUACUCAGAACUAAGCCCCACUCUGUUCUAUGGGAUUUACUCCUAUCCUAUGUAAUUGUGCAUCGGAUUGCACAAUUUAAAUUGCUUUAAAAGUUGUUAAAAACAAAUGAAUAUAUGCUGGCAUACGCUUUUGUAAGCUACAGUCUACAAGAGCUACAAGGGACAGAAAUAACAGACUUGGUUGGUUUGUUUUUGUUUAAUAUCAACCAGCCACAAUGAAGGCAACCAGGCAGGGGGCAGGAUUUGGUAGAGAUAAUAGUAUUGUAUGUGGUUUGGAUAAACUGGAAAGAAAAUUCUCUUCCAGUCUCACAACACUAGAAUUUGAGGUUCUUCAAAGGAAUUGACUGAGUAUUCAGAGGCAGGUUACCCUUAAUACUAGUUGUCUGAGGGACAAGGAGGGAGGCUGUCCAGAUUCCCAGAUCUAUGUAAAGGUAAAGGGACCCCUGACUGUUAGGUCCAGUUGCGAACGACUCUGGGGUUGCAGCGCUCAUCUCACUUUACUGGCUGAGAGAGCCGGCGUACAGCUUCCGGGUCAUGUGGCCAGCAUGACUAAGCCGCUUCUGGCAAACCAGAGCAGCACACGGAAACGCCGUUUACCUUCCUGCCGCAGCAAUACCUAUUUAUCUACUUGCACUUUGACAUGCUUUCAAACUGCUAGGUUGGUAGGAGCAGGGACCGAGCAACGGGAGCUCACCCCGUCACGGGGAUUCGAACCGCUGACCUUCUGAUCGGCAAGCCCUAGGCUCUGUGGUUUAGACCACAGCACCACCCGCGUCCCCCAGAUCUAUGUAGGCUGGACUAAAUAGACCCUUGCUCUGAUUCAGCAGGACUCUUAUGUACUUUUGUAGACAGGUGCCUACGAAAAGCUGUGCCAGAAUAAAAUAAUCUAUACUAAAAAUGUCCCCUACUGUACUCUUCUUUUUGUAGGCAUUUUCAUUUAAAUUUGCACUCCAAUCUGGUAAACAGAAAAGAAAGUAAACUCUAUUAAACUCAGUGGGACGUACUGUGCAAUCCUAAUGUCCACUCAUAAGUAAUUCAGUGAGGUUUACUCCCAGGUAAGUGGGGAUAGGAUUACAGUUACUGUAUUUGUGAAUAAACAUGUGUAAG